UGGCGGCAAGCCUAACACAUGCAAGUCGAACGGACAAUUAUUUAUAGCCUCUGGCUAUAGGAAAUUGUUAGUGGCAGACGGGUGAGUAAUGCGUAGGAAUCUACCUAGUAGUACGGAAUAGCCAUUAGAAAUGGUGGGUAAUACUGUAUAAUCCCCGAGGGGGAAAGAUUUAUCGCUAUUAGAUGAGCCUACGUUAGAUUAGCUAGUUGGUGAGGUAAUGGCUUACCAAGGCUAUGAUCUAUAGCUGGUCUGAGAGGACGAUCAGCCACACUGGAACUGAGAUACGGUCCAGACUCCUACGGGAGGCAGCAGUGGGGAAUAUUGGACAAUGGGCGAAAGCCUGAUCCAGCUAUGCCGCGUGAGUGAAGAAGGCCUUCGGGUUGUAAAACUCUUUCAAUAGGGAAGAUAAUGACGGUACCUAUAGAAGAAGUCCCGGCAAACUCUGUGCCAGCA
Molecule: ribosomal RNA, 453 nt
Filed under: Ehrlichia canis
Lineage: Bacteria; Pseudomonadati; Pseudomonadota; Alphaproteobacteria; Rickettsiales; Anaplasmataceae
Description: bacterial SSU rRNA
Rfam family: Bacterial small subunit ribosomal RNA
Source: RNAcentral